Molecule: long non-coding RNA, 282 nt
Filed under: Mytilus galloprovincialis (Mediterranean mussel)
Lineage: Eukaryota; Metazoa; Mollusca; Bivalvia; Mytilida; Mytilidae
Source: RNAcentral
AGAAAAAUAAAAACUUACCAGGAUUUUGCCGUGCACUUUUUUUCAUUCCUCCAGAAGGUGCCAAAAUAAACAUGAUAAACUAAGUUGGGAAACAGGUUUGAGAACUUCCCCACAGGUAAUAAUUGAAGUGAGCUGUAUUGCUUGACAUGGACAUGAGAUGGACAAUAGAUACCUGACAAUAAUUGGUUAUUUAAACUGUGUACCUGAGUGGACCAUAUCAAGGUAAACUCAACUGUUUGUUAAUUUUAUCAUCUUCUGCAGGGACGAAAAAAAGUGUACGGC